AACGAACGCUGGCGGCGUGCUUAACACAUGCAAGUCGAACGGUAAGGCCCUUCGGGGUACACGAGUGGCGAACGGGUGAGUAACACGUGGGUGAUCUGCCCUGCACUUCGGGAUAAGCCUGGGAAACUGGGUCUAAUACCGGAUAGGACUCCUGCCUGCAUGGGUGGGGGUGGAAAGCUUUUGCGGUGUGGGAUGGGCCCGCGGCCUAUCAGCUUGUUGGUGGGGUGAUGGCCUACCAAGGCGACGACGGGUAGCCGGCCUGAGAGGGUGAACGGCCACACUGGGACUGAGACACGGCCCAGACUCCUACGGGAGGCAGCAGUGGGGAAUAUUGCGCAAUGGACGAAAGUCGGACGCAGCGACGCCUCGUGAGGGACGAAGGUCUUCGGAUUGUAAACCUCUUUCAGCAGGGACGAAGCGAAAGUGACGGUACCUGCAGAAGAAGCACCGGCUAACUAUGUGCCAGCCGCCGCCGUAA
This 478-nucleotide ribosomal RNA is filed under the name uncultured bacterium. RNAcentral describes it as "partial 16S ribosomal RNA". It matches the Rfam family "Bacterial small subunit ribosomal RNA", at positions 28 to 523 of the family's 1533-position model. The record is from RNAcentral.